CACAGUAUUCUUGGACAAUUAAUGGGAAGUUUCAGCUAUCAGGACAAAAGCUCUUUAUCCCUCAGAUUACUCCAAAGCAUAAUGGGCUCUAUGCUUGCUCUGCUCGUAACUCAGCCACUGGCGAGGAAAGCUCCACAUCCUUGACAAUCAGAGUCAUUGGUCCCUGCCAUGGAGAUCUGACAGAGUCUCAUUCAUGACUGCCACAACAGAGACACUGAGAAAAAGAUGCAACCAUGAAAAGGUGCAAAGGUGACAAGUUCCAAUGACAUAGAAAAUAGCAAUCAGCCUUUCUCACGUCUGAAAGCCUUCCAAAAUAC
RNAcentral lists this long non-coding RNA (317 nucleotides) under Homo sapiens (human). Its description in RNAcentral is "non-protein coding lnc-PSG2-5:1". The record is from RNAcentral. Lineage: Eukaryota; Metazoa; Chordata; Mammalia; Primates; Hominidae.